UACGAAGGUGGCAAGCGUUGUUCGGAAUUACUGGGCGUAAAGAGCGCGUAGGCGGUUUGAUAAGUCUGAUGUGAAAGCCCUGGACUCAAUCCAGGAAGUGCAUUGGAUACUGUCAGGCUAGAAUACGGGAGAGGUGAGCGGAAUUCCUGGUGUAGAGGUGAAAUUCGUAGAUAUCAGGAGGAACAACAGAAGCGAAGGCGGCUCACUGGACUGUUAUUGACGCUGAGGCGCGAAAGCGUGGGGAGCAAACAGGAUUAGAAACCCCUGUAGU
This 271-nucleotide ribosomal RNA is filed under the name uncultured bacterium. RNAcentral describes it as "partial 16S ribosomal RNA". It matches the Rfam family "Bacterial small subunit ribosomal RNA", at positions 524 to 794 of the family's 1533-position model. The record is from RNAcentral.